Molecule: ribosomal RNA, 460 nt
Filed under: uncultured bacterium
Lineage: Bacteria
Description: partial 16S ribosomal RNA
Rfam family: Bacterial small subunit ribosomal RNA
Source: RNAcentral
CCUACGGGGGGCUGCAGUGAGGAAUAUUGGUCAAUGGGCGAGAGCCUGAACCAGCCAAGUCGCGUGAAGGAUGACGGCCCUACGGGUUGUAAACUUCUUUUGUCAGGGAGCAAGUGAGGCCACGUGUGGUCUUAGCGAGAGGACCUGAAGAAAAAGCAGCGGCGAACUCCGUGCCAGCAGCCGCGGUAAUACGGAGGAUGCGAGCUUUAGCCGGAUUUAUUGGGUUUAAAGGGUGCGUAGGCGGAAUAUCAAGUCAGCGGUAAAAAUGCGGGGCUCAACCCCGUCGUGCCGUUUAAACUGCUGUUCUUGAGUGGGCGAGACGUAUGCGGAAUGCGUGGUGUAGCGGUGCAAUGCCUAGCUAUCACGCAGAACUCCGAUUGCGAAGGCAGCAUACCGGCGCCCACCUGACGCUGAAGCACGAAAGCGUGUGUAUCGAACAGGAUUAGCUACCCCUGUAGUC